UUAUUGAAGUACGAUAACUUAAGUUUUAAACUAUUAAAUAUUACAUAUCUUUUCAUAAAGAAAGAUAUACAGAAUUAAUUUAAAAAAUAUAACAUCAUUAUAUUUAAUAUUUGAAUCUCCACGUAUUAUCAUACAUAUGAAGAAAAACGAUUUAGAAAUGAAAUAUGUUUCACACCCUAGGAAGAUAAAAACAAAAAUACCUUUUCCGUGAGAAACAUGCUUUUUAAUUAUUCAUAAAUCAUAAAACAUCACUAUGGCCUCUCGUACUUUUUGUCGAAGUCCGUUAUGUCAUCAGAGAUUUCGAUAGAUGAGCUGAUCAUUUUCAGACAUCUGAAAGGAAAAUGGCAUCGAGAACCUCGCAAUAAAAAAUUAAAAAAAAAAAAAAAAAAAAAAAAAAAUGUUAUAAAGAAAAACGAAAAAAUCCCUUCACCGAGAUCCGGGCCCCGAUCAUAAACUCUAAGUAUAAUAUUAAAUGCUUCCAAUACUGUACUAUUAAAACAGAAAAAAAUUAUUAUUACAACAUUUUUAUGAUUUUAUUCGUUCGGACGCGUAGGUAAGCGGUAUAUAUAUAUAUUAUAUAUAUAAUCUACAGAUCGAUAAUACUCGAGAAUUGUAUUUUAUAACGGUUUAUGCCUCUUUUUAUUUACACGUACCACGAGUGACAAGUGAUAUAUAUAUAUUAUAUUAUAUUAUAUAAAUAUAUAUAUUGUUAUUGAUAAAAAUUGAUAAAAAGAAACGAUGAAUUAUUCGGAGAUACACGGCAAAGAAUGUAAUGUUUAAAGAGUCGCGCCAAAAAAAUAGUGUCGUGUUCGAACGGGGUGCCACCGUUGCAUUUCCUCCGCGUCUAAAAGCUCCGGUUAUCCGCGACAGGCAUCGUGUCCGUACUACGAUAAAAAAAAUCCAGAUAUGAUGCUUAUAAUACUCAUUUAUUAUAGUGUUAAUAGUUAAGAAAUAUAUUUUUAUAUUAUUAUAAUAUUAUGACACGAUAUAUUAUAUAUAUAUAUAUAGUACUAAUCGAUCGCCGCGGAUCUGUGAACCCGCGACGAGUCUGUUCCUCGGCCGGUACAGAUACGCGAGAAUCUUCUAUUUUUAUUUUCUAGUUUUCGAAACUCGAUCGUAAACGAUUUAACGUUCCUGUGCAAUCUCUUUGUUAUUUUUCUCCGUUAUUUCUCAUCAUUAUGCUACGUUCUUUAUUUUCAUUGACUUGUUUUUGUUUGUACGAUUUCUUUAUAACAAUUUUUUAAUCGUUUGAUAUAUAUUAAUUUACCGGCAUUCCUUAAAUAUUUUUACUUUCUAUAAUUUUAUAUAAAAAUUUAUUUCGUGUUAAGUUUUGCUAUUAAUUUGAUUAUUCUUAUUUUCACACUUGAAAAAACCUCAAUUCUGUACUUUCACGACCAACGGGUUAGGACAUCAGGAAGGAAAAGCAGGAAAUUUACGAAGACAAUAUUACAUACGUAUAAGUGACUAAAAGAAUAAAAAAAUUAUAUAUAUAAAUAUAUAAAUAUAUAAAUAUAGAUAUAAAAAGAUAGAAAUAUUUGCUCUGAUUCGAGAGUAUUUGCAACCUGCUCGCCUCGAUGUAUGUAUGUACGUAUUAUUAAAUAACACACAGACUACAGUGUAAUUUUGCCAGCUUUCGCUCAUCGGCAUCGAUUAUGUCUCCGUUACUUCCUAAACAAAAAAAAAAAAAAAAAAAAAAAAAAAAAAAAAAAAAAAAAAAAAAAAAAAAAUACUCGUAUAAACAUGAAACAAACGAAAUGAGAAAGCGAAGAGAUAAAUACAAGAAAAAAAAAUUGUUAAUGAUUGUUGAUGCAACGAUUUAAAAAAUGAGCACCGUACGAUGCCUUCCGUGAACGACCGAGCUUGCCUAGUUACCGAAAUAACAUAUUCAAUAAUUCAAUAAUUCGAUCUCGAAAAGAAUUCUCUCGUUGAAAGUAACAUUAUUCCCGCGAUGCUUCCCCCAUCUAUUGAUCAUUUGUUUUCUCUAUCAUGGACAAUAAAUAUAGAACGAAUAAAUAGUACCAUAAACUAUAUAAAUACAGUAGAGAUUCUUCGUAUAAUUAUAAUAUAAAAAACAUUUUAAUAUCAGUAGAAAUGUGUAUUCUAUUCAUGACAAAGGUGUUCUAUGAAUUUCAUAAGAAUGUUUUGUGAUUUUUUUUAUACAAAAAGCGCGCGGGAAUAAUAAAAUGUUUGCUUUAAACUAUAAUCGACGAACACUGGUGGUUAUGCUAUCGAGCUUUCCAUAACUACGUUACAUAAGCAUCAGAAUCGUGCGUGUGUGCGUGUAUUGUAUAGAUUAGAGAGCAUAAGCAUUAAUACAAUAGUAUAUAUAUAUAUAUAUAAAAAUCGUAAGUGUG
This is a long non-coding RNA of Apis laboriosa (Himalayan honeybee), 2354 nucleotides long. RefSeq lists it as uncharacterized. The record is from RefSeq and is a predicted model, not a curated record. The transcript has 2 exons. Lineage: Eukaryota; Metazoa; Arthropoda; Insecta; Hymenoptera; Apidae.